AGUGAACGCUGGCGGUAGGCCUAACACAUGCAAGUCGAACGGCAGCACAGUAAGAGCUUGCUCUUACGGGUGGCGAGUGGCGGACGGGUGAGGAAUACAUCGGAAUCUACUUUUUCGUGGGGGAUAACGUAGGGAAACUUACGCUAAUACCGCAUACGACCUACGGGUGAAAGCAGGGGAUCUUCGGACCUUGCGCGAUUGAAUGAGCCGAUGUCGGAUUAGCUAGUUGGCGGGGUAAAGGCCCACCAAGGCUAUGAUCGGUAGCUGGUCUGAGAGGAUGACCGGCCACAUGGGGACUGAGGUACGGCCCAGACUGCUACGGGAGGCAGCAGUGGGGAAUAUUGCACAAUGGGCGGGAGCCUGAGGCAGCAGCGCCGCGUGCGGGAUGACGGCCUUCGGGUUGUAAACCGCUUUCGCCUGUGACGAAGCGUGAGUGACGGUAAUGGGUAAAGAAGCACCGGCUAACUACGUG
RNAcentral lists this ribosomal RNA (472 nucleotides) under uncultured bacterium. Its description in RNAcentral is "partial 16S ribosomal RNA". It matches the Rfam family "Bacterial small subunit ribosomal RNA", at positions 30 to 507 of the family's 1533-position model. The record is from RNAcentral.